UGGCUAUUUUGGGGGUAAUUUUCAGUUCAACUUUUAAAACAAAUGGUACCAGUUUGUUCCCAUGUCAUGAGGAUUCAGAAUAUAUAUAGUUUUCAGGGCUCCAUAUUAUAGUUUGGAAUUUAUCCCAGACAGACAGACCAGACAGACAGGAGACGGAG
Thalassophryne amazonica is the source of this 158-nucleotide long non-coding RNA. RefSeq lists it as uncharacterized. NCBI's taxonomy places the organism in Eukaryota, Metazoa, Chordata, Actinopteri, Batrachoidiformes, Batrachoididae. The transcript is spliced from 3 exons. The record is from RefSeq and is a predicted model, not a curated record.